This 468-nucleotide ribosomal RNA is filed under the name uncultured bacterium. Its description in RNAcentral is "partial 16S ribosomal RNA". It matches the Rfam family "Bacterial small subunit ribosomal RNA", at positions 28 to 507 of the family's 1533-position model. The record is from RNAcentral.
GACGAACGCUGGCGGCGUGCUUAACACAUGCAAGUCGAACGGAAAGGCCCUGCUUUUGUGGGGUGCUCGAGUGGCGAACGGGUGAGUAACACGUGAGUAACCUGCCCUUGACUUUGGGAUAACUUCAGGAAACUGGGGCUAAUACCGGAUAGGAGCUCCUGCUGCAUGGUGGGGGUUGGAAAGUUUCGGCGGUUGGGGAUGGACUCGCGGCUUAUCAGCUUGUUGGUGGGGUAGUGGCUUACCAAGGCUUUGACGGGUAGCCGGCCUGAGAGGGUGACCGGCCACAUUGGGACUGAGAGACGGCCCAGACUCCUACGGGAGGCAGCAGUGGGGAAUAUUGCACAAUGGGCGGAAGCCUGAUGCAGCAACGCCGCGUGCGGGAUGACGGCCUUCGGGUUGUAAACCGCUUUCGCCUGUGACGAAGCGUGAGUGACGGUAAUGGGUAGAGAAGCACCGGCUAACUACGUG